Molecule: ribosomal RNA, 414 nt
Filed under: uncultured microorganism
Description: bacterial SSU rRNA
Rfam family: Archaeal small subunit ribosomal RNA
Source: RNAcentral
CAGCCGCCGCGGUAAUACCGGCGGCCCGAGUGGCGGUCACUAUUAUUGGGCUUAAAGCGUCCGUAGCCGGGGUGGGAAGUCCUCCGGGAAAUCUGGCCGCUUAAAGGUCAGAAUGCCGGAGGAUACUCCCAGCCUAGGGAGCGGGGGAGGCCGAGGGGAUUCCCGGAGUAGGGGGGAAAUCCUAUAAUCCCGGGAGGACCACCUGUGGCGAAGGCGCUCGGCUGGAACGCGUCCGACGGUGAGGGACGAAGGCCAGGGGAGCAAACCGGAUUAGAUACCCGGGUAGUCCUGGCUGUAAACGAUGCGGACUUUGUGUCGGACAAGCUAUGAGCUUGUCCGGUGCCGGAGGGAAACCGUUAAGUCCGCCGCCUGGGGAGUACGGCCGCAAGGCUGAAACUUAAAGGAAUUGGCGGG